RNAcentral lists this ribosomal RNA (253 nucleotides) under uncultured bacterium. RNAcentral describes it as "partial 16S ribosomal RNA". It matches the Rfam family "Bacterial small subunit ribosomal RNA", at positions 524 to 776 of the family's 1533-position model. The record is from RNAcentral.
UACAGAGGGUGCGAGCGUUGUCCGGAAUCACUGGGCGUAAAGGGCGCGUAGGCGGCUCGGUAAGGUUGCGGUGAAAGCCCGGGGCUCAACCCCGGGUCGGCCGUGACAACUGCUGGGCUGGAGCACUGUAGAGGCAGGUGGAAUUCCGGGUGUAGCGGUGGAAUGCGUAGAGAUCCGGAAGAACACCGGUGGCGAAGGCGGCCUGCUGGGCAGUGGCUGACGCUGAGGCGCGACAGCGUGGGGAGCAAACAGG